This 86-nucleotide transfer RNA is filed under the name Colletotrichum gloeosporioides Cg-14. It matches the Rfam family "tRNA". Rfam says of the family: Transfer RNA (tRNA) molecules are approximately 80 nucleotides in length. Their secondary structure includes four short double-helical elements and three loops (D, anti-codon, and T loops). The record is from Rfam by way of RNAcentral. Lineage: Eukaryota; Fungi; Ascomycota; Sordariomycetes; Glomerellales; Glomerellaceae.
UCCGAUAUGGUGUAGUGGCCAACAUGAUGCCCUCUCAUUCGUUGAAAGGUUAGGCAUAGCCCCGAGUUCGAUUCUCGGUUUCGGAA